This 67-nucleotide transfer RNA is filed under the name Leontocebus fuscicollis (brown-headed tamarin). RNAcentral describes it as "tRNA-Val". It matches the Rfam family "tRNA". Rfam says of the family: Transfer RNA (tRNA) molecules are approximately 80 nucleotides in length. Their secondary structure includes four short double-helical elements and three loops (D, anti-codon, and T loops). Further hydrogen bonds mediate the characteristic L-shaped molecular structure. tRNAs have two regions of fundamental functional importance: the anti-codon, which is responsible for specific mRNA codon recognition, and the 3' end, to which the tRNAs corresponding amino acid is attached (by aminoacyl-tRNA synthetases). tRNAs cope with the degeneracy of the genetic code in two manners: having more than one tRNA (with a specific anti-codon) for a particular amino acid; and 'wobble' base-pairing, i.e. permitting non-standard base-pairing at the 3rd anti-codon position. Lineage: Eukaryota; Metazoa; Chordata; Mammalia; Primates; Cebidae. The record is from RNAcentral. RNAcentral also lists the same sequence under 2 other names.
CAAAACGUAGCUUAAAUUAAAGCAUCUGGCUUACACCCAGAAGACCUCAUGAAAAUGAUCGUUUUGA